UUAGAUACCCUGGUAGUCCACGCCCUAAACGAUGAGUACUAAGUGUUGGUGAGAAUCAGUGCUGAAGUUAACGCAUUAAGUACUCCGCCUGAGUAGUACGUACGCAAGUAUGAAACUUAAAGGAAUUGACGGGAGCCCGCACAAGCGGUGGAGCAUGUUGUUUAAUUCGACGAUACGCGAAGAACCUUACCAGGUCUUGACAUAGCACGCGAAGGCGUAGAGAUACGUUGGAGGAUAGCGUGCAUACAGGUGGUGCAUGGUUGUCGUCAGCUCGUGUCGUGAGAUGUUGGGUUAAGUCCCGCAACGAGCGCAACCCUUAUUUCUAGCUACCAGCAGUAAGAUGGGGACUCUAGAGAGACUGCCAUUGAUAAAAUGGAGGAAGGUGGGGAUGACGUCAAAUCAUCAUGCCCUAUAUGACCUGNGCUACAAACGUGCUACAAUGGCUGAAACAAAGAGAAGCGAGCCCGCGAGGGGGAGCGAACCUCAAAAAAGCAGUCUCAGUUCGGAUUGAAGUCUGCAACUCGACUUCAUGAAGAUGGAAUCGCUAGUAAUCGCGAAUCAAAAGGUCGCGGUGAAUACGUUCUCGGGCUUUGUACACACCGCCCGUCAAACCAUGAAAGUUUGUAAUACCCGAAGCCCGUGGCCUCACGAAAGAGGGAGCCGUCUAAAGUAGGACAGAUGAUUGGGGGUUAAGUCGUAACAAGGGAAGCCCAAUUCCAACC
This 722-nucleotide ribosomal RNA is filed under the name uncultured bacterium. Its description in RNAcentral is "bacterial SSU rRNA". It matches the Rfam family "Bacterial small subunit ribosomal RNA", at positions 778 to 1533 of the family's 1533-position model. The record is from RNAcentral.